RNAcentral lists this ribosomal RNA (569 nucleotides) under uncultured Gammaproteobacteria bacterium. RNAcentral's name for it is "bacterial SSU rRNA". It matches the Rfam family "Bacterial small subunit ribosomal RNA", at positions 812 to 1381 of the family's 1533-position model. Lineage: Bacteria; Pseudomonadati; Pseudomonadota; Gammaproteobacteria. The record is from RNAcentral.
UCGAUUUGGAGUUUGUUGCCUAGAGUGAUGGGCUCCGAAGCCAACGCGAUAAAUCGACCGCCUGGGGAGUACGGCCGCAAGGUUAAAACUCAAAUGAAUUGACGGGGGCCCGCACAAGCGGUGGAGCAUGUGGUUUAAUUCGAUGCAACGCGAAGAACCUUACCUGGUCUUGACAUCCACAGAAUCUUGCAGAGAUGCGAGAGUGCCUUCGGGAACUGUGAGACAGGUGCUGCAUGGCUGUCGUCAGCUCGUGUUGUGAAAUGUUGGGUUAAGUCCCGCAACGAGCGCAACCCUUAUCCUUUGUUGCCAGCGGUUCGGCCGGGAACUCAAAGGAGACUGCCGUUGAUAAAGCGGAGGAAGGUGGGGACGACGUCAAGUCAUCAUGGCCCUUACGACCAGGGCUACACACGUGCUACAAUGGCGUAUACAAAGGGAGGCGACCCCGCGAGAGCAAGCGGACCUCACAAAGUACGUCUAAGUCCGGAUUGGAGUCUGCAACUCGACUCCAUGAAGUCGGAAUCGCUAGUAAUCGUGAAUCAGAAUGUCACGGUGAAUACGUUCCCGGGCCU